UGGUGCUCCUAACCCGAUUGCAUUCAC
This 27-nucleotide non-coding RNA is filed under the name Rattus norvegicus (Norway rat). Lineage: Eukaryota; Metazoa; Chordata; Mammalia; Rodentia; Muridae. The record is from RNAcentral.